This 630-nucleotide ribosomal RNA is filed under the name Panoniona leoni. RNAcentral describes it as "Allolobophora leoni partial 16S ribosomal RNA". It matches the Rfam family "Bacterial large subunit ribosomal RNA", at positions 1821 to 2827 of the family's 2925-position model. Lineage: Eukaryota; Metazoa; Annelida; Clitellata; Crassiclitellata; Lumbricidae. The record is from RNAcentral.
UUCUGUAAUAAGAUAGAAAGUAAUUCCUGCCCAGUGAUAUACAUUUCAACGGCCGCGGUAUCCUAACCGUGCAAAGGUAGCAUAAUCACUUGCCCAUUAAUUGUGGGCUAGAAUGAAAGGACCAACGAAAUAAAGACUGUCUCUAUAAGCCACAUAAAAAUUAAUCUCUAACUGAAGAUUGUUAGAUUCCGUCGAAGGACAAGAAGACCCUAUAGAGCUUCAUUUUAAUAAAAAUAAAUUUUUUAAUAAGAUUCGGUUGGGGCGACCGGGGAACAUUAAUCAUCCCCUAAUAAAAGAUAAAUAUAUCCCGUCUCUGACCAUUAAUAAAGAUCACCAGAACAAGCUACCUUAGGGAUAACAGGCUAAUCUCACUAAAGAGUCCUUAUCAAUAGUGGGGGUUGGCACCUCGAUGUUGGCUUAGGGAAUCUAUAUGGCGCAAAAGUCAUAUAAAGAUGGUUUGUUCAACCAAUAAUACCCUACAUGAGCUGAGUUCAGACCGGCGUAAGCCAGGUUAGUUUCUAUCCUCGAUAAAAAUAUCUAUUUAUAGUACGAAAGGACCUAAAUACGAAUAAUAAUUAUAUUUCAAGAAUAAAUAUAAUGCAAUUUUAUUUAAACAACACAUAAAAUAUG